Molecule: ribosomal RNA, 265 nt
Filed under: uncultured bacterium
Lineage: Bacteria
Description: partial 16S ribosomal RNA
Rfam family: Bacterial small subunit ribosomal RNA
Source: RNAcentral
ACUCCUACGGGAGGCAGCAGUGGGGAAUAUUGGACAAUGGCGAAAGCCUGAUCCAGCCAUGCCGCGUGUGUGAAGAAGGCCCUCGGGUUGUAAAGCACUUUCAGUGAGGAAGAAUGCUUGUGGGUUAAUACCCUGCAAGACGAGACAUCACUCACAGAAGUAAGGCACCGGCUAACUCCGUGCCAGCAGCCGCGGUAAUACGGAGGGUGCGAGCGUUAAUCGGAAUUACUGGGCGUAAAAGCGCGCGUAGGCGGCUUGAUAAGCC